RNAcentral lists this transfer RNA (72 nucleotides) under Bos taurus (domestic cattle). It matches the Rfam family "tRNA". From Rfam's summary of the family: Transfer RNA (tRNA) molecules are approximately 80 nucleotides in length. Their secondary structure includes four short double-helical elements and three loops (D, anti-codon, and T loops). RNAcentral also lists the same sequence under 5 other names. Lineage: Eukaryota; Metazoa; Chordata; Mammalia; Artiodactyla; Bovidae. The record is from Rfam by way of RNAcentral.
UCCCUGGUGGCUCAGGUGGUAAAGAAUCCACCUGCAAUGUGGGAGACCUAAGUUUGAUCCCUGGCUUGGGAA